Long non-coding RNA from Pundamilia nyererei, 469 nucleotides. RefSeq lists it as uncharacterized. The record is from RefSeq and is a predicted model, not a curated record. Lineage: Eukaryota; Metazoa; Chordata; Actinopteri; Cichliformes; Cichlidae. The transcript is spliced from 6 exons.
CUAUGAUGAGAUACCAGCUGGAGCAGAACUUCAUCCUAUAAAUGGAGGAUCAAACCACAGUGAUGCCACAUACGACACCAUCGCUGAGCUGCCACAGACUGGAAACGACACCAGUAACACCUAUUUUCCACAUUCCUUGACUGCUUCCACUUUCCAUGCUGGAAAUAAUAAAGGAGGAUCAGACCACAGUGAUGCCACAUACGACACCAUCGCUGAGCUGCCACAGACUGCAAACACGACCGAUUCUCCAUAUUCUGUGAUUGGUGCCACGUUUAGUGAUGGAAAUAAAAAAAGGUUCUUCACAGCCCGUCAACAACACGUAUGUCUUACUGGAGAAACCCAAAGCAUCCAGAAGCAGGCCGGACCGGUGUAGCUUCACCUGAAUGUCCUGCUGUCAGGAACAGUCUGCACAGCACAGAUGUUCAUGGGAACAUGUAACACGCAUAUGUCGAGAUUAUUCUGAAUUAUU